ACUCCUACGGGAGGCAGCAGUGGGGAAUAUUGGACAAUGGGGGGAACCCGUGAUCCAGCCAUGCCGCGUGUGUGAAGAAGGCCUUAUGGUUGUAAAGCACUUUAAGCGAGGAGGAGGCUACUGAGACUAAUACUCUUGGAUAGUGGACGUUACUCGCAGAAUAAGCACCGGCUAACUCUGUGCCAGCAGCCGCGGUAAUACAGAGGGUGCGAGCGUUAAUCGGAUUUACUGGGCGUAAAGCGUGCGUAGGCGGCUUUUAAGUCGGAUGUGAAAUCCCCGAGCUUAACUUGGGAAUUGCAUUCGAUACUGGGGAAGCUAGAGUAUGGGAGAGGAUGGUAGAAUUCCAGGUGUAGCGGUGAAAUGCGUAGAGAUCUGGAGGAAUACCGAUGGCGAAGGCAGCCAUCUGGCCUAAUACUGACGCUGAGGUACGAAAGCAUGGGAGCAAACAGGAUUAGAUACCCCGUGGUAGCGACUGA
This 476-nucleotide ribosomal RNA is filed under the name uncultured bacterium. RNAcentral's name for it is "bacterial SSU rRNA". It matches the Rfam family "Bacterial small subunit ribosomal RNA", at positions 335 to 803 of the family's 1533-position model. The record is from RNAcentral.